Molecule: long non-coding RNA, 394 nt
Filed under: Homo sapiens (human)
Lineage: Eukaryota; Metazoa; Chordata; Mammalia; Primates; Hominidae
Description: long intergenic non-protein coding RNA 2614
Source: RNAcentral
CUGGAGUGCAGUGUUGUGAUCCCGGUUCACUGCAGCCUCUACCUCCUGUGUUCAAGCAAUCCUCCCACCUCAGCCUCCUGAGUAGCUGAGACCACAGGAAUGACGGACGCUGGGGCUUUGAUGGGCACCGGGUGAAAUGGGCAGAGUGGCGCUUACCCGGGAUGGCGGUGAAGCGGGACCGGGAGGUCAUCGUGACAAAGGGUGGCAUGAGGUACCUGGCCUUGACGCCCUCCCCGGCUAGACGGUCCAGAUUGGGGGUGUCCACAUCCUGAUCCUAGUCCCAGCGGAAGCCCUGGAAGGAGAUCAGCAGCAGCUAAACUCCUGGAGGGCAGAGCCAUGCCUGCCAUUUUCAUCAUUGCAUUACCACCACCCAGCACAGUGCCUGGUACAAAAG